Molecule: ribosomal RNA, 523 nt
Filed under: uncultured archaeon
Lineage: Archaea
Description: bacterial SSU rRNA
Rfam family: Bacterial small subunit ribosomal RNA
Source: RNAcentral
CGCCGCGGUAAUACGUAGGUGGCAAGCGUUAUCCGGAAUUAUUGGGCGUAAAGCGUGAGCAGGCGGCCGUUUAAGUUUGAAGUCAAAUCCAGGGGCUCAACCCCUGUCCGCUUUGAAAACUGGAUGGCUAGAGUACGAGAGAGGUAUGUGGAAUUCCAAGUGUAGCGGUGAAAUGCGUAGAUAUUUGGAGGAACACCAGUGGCGAAGGCGGCAUACUAGCUCGAUACUGACGCUCAGUCACGAAAGCGUGGGGAGCAAAUAGGAUUAGAUACCCUAGUAGUCCACGCCGUAAACGUUGAGAACUAAGUGUUGGGGAGACCCAGUGCUGAAGCUAACGCAUUAAGUUCUCCGCCUGAGGAGUACGCACGCAAGUGUAAAACUUAAAGGAAUUGACGGGGGCCCGCACAAGCAGUGGAGCAUGUGGUUUAAUUCGAGGCUACGCGAAGAACCUUACCAGGGCUUGACAGGAAACUUAAGACCCUAGAGAUAGGGGGAUAAUAAGUGAAACAGGUGGUGCAUGGCC